GAUGAAGAACGCAGCGAAAUGCGAUACUUGGUGUGAAUUGCAGAAUCCCGUGAACCAUCGAGUCUUUGAACGCAAGUUGCGCCCGAAGCCAUUAGGCCGAGGGCACGCCUGCCUGGGCGUCACACGUCGUUGCCCCCCCAUCUACUCCUUCGGGAUUGCGGGGGGCGGAUGAUGGCCUCUCGUGCGCCUCGUCGCGCGGUUGGCCUAAAUGCCAAGUCCUCGGCGACGCACGCCACGACAAUCGGUGGUUGCGAAACCUCGGUUGCCUGUCGUGUGCGGUCGUCGCGCAUCGAGGGCUCGAAAAAAUUGCCGGGCUUCGGCUCGACUUUCAACGCGACCCCAGGUCGGGCGGGGUUACCCGCUGAAUUUAAGCAUAUCAAUAAGCGGAGGA
RNAcentral lists this unclassified non-coding RNA (391 nucleotides) under soil metagenome. Its description in RNAcentral is "partial contains 5.8S ribosomal RNA, internal transcribed spacer 2, and large subunit ribosomal RNA". The stretch from base 1 to 122 matches the Rfam family "5.8S ribosomal RNA", at positions 35 to 154 of the family's 154-position model. The record is from RNAcentral.